This 273-nucleotide ribosomal RNA is filed under the name uncultured bacterium. Its description in RNAcentral is "partial 16S ribosomal RNA". It matches the Rfam family "Bacterial small subunit ribosomal RNA", at positions 85 to 354 of the family's 1533-position model. The record is from RNAcentral.
CCGCCGGCGACCGGCGCACGGGUGAGUAACACGUAUGCAACCUGGCCGUGACAGAUGGAUAACCGGGAGAAAUCCCGCCUAAUACAACAUAAUGCCGGGAGGGGACAUCCCCUGCCGGUCAAAGGGGGCGACCCCGGUCACGGAUGGGCAUGCGGCGCAUUAGGUAGUUGGUGGGGCAACGGCCCACCAAGCCGACGAUGCGUAGGGGUUCUGAGAGGAAGGUCCCCCACAUUGGAACUGAGACACGGUCCGAACUCCUACGGGAGGCAGCAG